UAUUCUUUUACUUCAUGGUUUGUAGCCUGAUCCACUAAAGAAGCUUUUUGUGAGUAUCACCAGAUUAGAUAAAUCCAUAAAUUAUGCAUUCAUUUUAUAUA
This is a long non-coding RNA of Octopus sinensis (East Asian common octopus), 101 nucleotides long. RefSeq lists it as uncharacterized. NCBI's taxonomy places the organism in Eukaryota, Metazoa, Mollusca, Cephalopoda, Octopoda, Octopodidae. The record is from RefSeq and is a predicted model, not a curated record. The transcript is spliced from 3 exons.